AAACUUCAAAACUGUCAAACAUAUGCAAGCAAUUAAAGGCUAUAUGUAUUUCAGUUCUUCACUAUAUUGAAAUGUGAGACCUAAGCUAAUGGAACACAUGAACACUGAGGAUUCAAAAAGCCGACCCCGACCUGUUUGGGAUCGAGUCAUAAUUGCUGUUGUAUGCCCGCCUUCAACUAGCUAGCUUAUAUUUAACAAAGAACUCACUCGUGUUCCCGAGUUCUUCUAACUUGGACGAAUGCUGCCAUGAAUUCACACUAAUCAUCUCACCAUGUUCUAGUGUAUGUUGAGGUAUCCUUUUAGCUGAACUCGUGCAUUAGAGAUGUGUCGAUAAUAAGGGAUUCUUGGAAAGCAAUACGAUUAGGCAAUGUCGUUACUGUCUCCUUUCGACCUUUUACUUUUUUUCUUGGUCUUCAGUUUUUUGCUUCCGCUGUGUUCUUUUGAUGCCUUCUUGCGUUUAACAGUCUUCUCUUCCUCUUCUUCCGUCUGUAAUGUUUCAUCUGUAUCGUGUUGCUGAGGAGGUACCUGAGCUUCUCUUGUAGAGAAUUUUGAAUCGAAUACAACACUGUUUAGAUGCUGCUUCAAGAAAACCGCAGACAGAAGUUGUCGUGACUUGACAUCCCAAAUGCGUAAAUAGCUGUCCAAUCCACAUGAGGCUAUAACUGGAAGCUCUGGAUGCUUAACUAUGGAUCUUAUACUUCCCGAACAUUUCCCCAAGAAGGAUCCCAAAAGUUUCCCUGUGCGGAUGUCAAAAGAAGCAAGAUCGCCAGACCCAUUUCCUA
RNAcentral lists this unclassified non-coding RNA (782 nucleotides) under Hevea brasiliensis (rubber tree). The record is from RNAcentral. Lineage: Eukaryota; Viridiplantae; Streptophyta; Magnoliopsida; Malpighiales; Euphorbiaceae.